This 410-nucleotide ribosomal RNA is filed under the name uncultured bacterium. Its description in RNAcentral is "bacterial SSU rRNA". It matches the Rfam family "Bacterial small subunit ribosomal RNA", at positions 29 to 458 of the family's 1533-position model. The record is from RNAcentral.
AUUGAACGCUGGCGGCGUGGCUAAAACAUGCAAGUCAGGGAUAGCCCCGCAAGGGGUGAAACCGGCGGAAGGGUGAGUAACACAUUCGAACGUGCCCCAAGGUGGGGGAUAGGUCGGGGAAACCUGGCGUAAUACCCCAUGUGCUCGUGAGAGGAAAGCCGCAAGGCGCCUCGGGAGCGGCGAAUGUCCUAUCAGGUAGUUGGCGGGGUAAUGGCCCACCAAGCCGUUGACGGGUAGCAGGUGUGAGAGCACGGCCUGCCACAUCGGGACUGAGACACUGCCCGGACUCCUACGGGAGGCUGCAGUAACGAAUAUUCCGCAAUGCGCGAAAGCGUGACGGAGCGACGCCGCGUGCAGGAUGAAGCGGCUUUGCCGUGUAAACUGCUGUCAGAGGUUACUAACACUGAAGU